Molecule: long non-coding RNA, 12750 nt
Filed under: Heterocephalus glaber (naked mole-rat)
Lineage: Eukaryota; Metazoa; Chordata; Mammalia; Rodentia; Bathyergidae
Description: lncRNA (ENSHGLG00100033218.1)
Source: RNAcentral
CAUUGUGUUCAUAAAGAGUUUAGAAAAUGUCUGAAAUAAAUGGAAAUAUAAAAUGUGUCACAGAAAGUAAAUGUAAUGAAUGUAGGUUUGAAAUACCAAUUGAAAGUAGACUUUUACCCUUGUGCCAGACUAUAAAUAAUAUCCUUAACUAGAAACUCACUACAUACUUAAAAACAUUGCGUAUAUGACCACAUUUAAUCUUGCCAAUAUCCCUAUCAGGUAGUUUCUAUUGGUGCUAUUCAUCUUUUCCUUUUUUCUUUUCUUUUCUUUUUUUCUGUCCUUCUCUCCUCCUCCUCAUUCUCCCUCCCUCUUUCCCCUUUUUCUUUCUCUCUCUCUCUGUCUCUGUCUCUCUUGUGUCUCUUUGUCUCUCUGUCUCUCAACAAGGAAACUAAAAUUUGAAGAGAUAAAGAAAUCUGUCUUUCAUGAUAUAGUUAAUAAAUUUCAGAAUCUAUAUUCAAACCCAGAUUUUGUCCUUGACUCUUAAGUUCUAAAGCAUGAUGUAGUUUUGUGUUGUUAGAUGUUACUUUUGAAACCCAAUUCACAUUAGUUUAAGGAAAAACCAGAAUGACCUAAGAGUUUCAUAAAAGGCAAAGAAAAGAAUGCAGCUGGGCCUCAGGAAAAUCAGAAACUAAUGAAUAAACACUGACCAAACUGGGCUUCCACACCCGUUGACACAAUCUCACCCCCUCCUUCCAUUUAUGUGCUCUAUUCUAUACCAUCUACACCUCAUUGGCUUACUUACUUUUGUUCACAUGGCAGAAAAUUCAGUUAUCCUGAGCUUUGUCUUUUAGUCCAAGUGCCCAAUGCCCAGAAGAAUGUGAUUCACGUUAAAUUCCAAAACCCAUAAGUAAUGGGGAUGCAAAAUGUUGCCCAUAUUUCAUCAUUGCCUAUUUUAUAGCAAUCAUGGAUUCAUUCUCUUAAACCAUGAAUAUUUUGAGAAUGUCCUCUGCUUCACAUUGUUCUCAGUGCUGAAUAUAUACCAGUUAACUAGGAAGAUUUUAUGUUCUAGUGGGGAGACACAGGCAAUAAGUUAAAUAUAUGAUCAAAACCUGAUAAGCAAGUGUCCAUAUAGGAUAAAUUCAUAAAUAAAUUUCAAAUGGUACUACAUUAAAACAAAAAUAUAUAGUAUGUGAAAGGAUAGAGUGUAGGAGGCCAACAUUAGAUAGAGGUAUAAGAGACUAUUUCUCUGAAAUGACAUUCAAAUAGAGAACCAAAUGACAAGAAGAAAGCAGCUAUAAAAAAAUUUUAAAAAGGCUGGUGGAGUAGCUGAGAGAUAGAGUACUCAUGUAGCAUGUGUGUUGGCUUGGGUUCAAUCCUCAAAACUUUAAAAAAAAUCAAGGAAGACCAUGAGGCAGAGAGGAUGAAAGGUUCAUAAGCAAAGAUGUGAGAAUAUUAGACCACUAGGAUGGCUGGGAACUAAUAAGCUAAUGGAGAAAGCUAACACAUGAGUUACAGGAAGAAAGGAACUAAAGUAUGGAAGUCUGUACAAGACAUUUGAAUGUUAUUCAAGAUAAAAAAAAAAAAAGUUAUAGCCAGAGGGAGGAUGCUAUGAUUUGCCCAAGUUCAGCUGGGUGCCCCUUGGGUUAUGUUUUAAUUUGACUGCUGUUGCUGCAGCCAGAGGGCUGUUGAAUGAAAGGAAUAUCUCCUCUUGGGAGGCACGGUUCUGGGCAGAUAAACCAAUGAACAAUUCUGUUCUCUUUGCCAUUCUGUUCAAUCACCUCUGUUUGAAAUCCCCUUAGCAAUCAGUCCCCACAUUCUGUCAAUCAUAUUAGCUACUGUUCUUACAAAGCCAGUUCUAUCCAGAAGGUUAUAUUUUCUACUAGUUUUCAAUGUUUUAAUUUUUCUGAUCUUCUUUAUAAUUUUUAAGGCUGUUUGAAUAUGAUAUGAUAUUAGAGAAUUAUCUCUGGUAUGCUGAUUUAUUGAUUGAUUACCCGCUGGUUAAUACCUACUUGAAUACUGUCUCUUGCCUCUAGGCCUUGGCUUCCAAUUUGGUUUCACUGGGCUUUGUAUUUUAAAAUUUUCUAUCUUCCAAGCUCUGUUAUUUGCCAUGCUUAUUUUCAGCUUUCUUAGAAAAACAUGAUUGGAUCCUGAGGGCGUUUGCUAGAUAUCUGGCAAGAAGCAUCACACAGCUAUAAAAGCAAGUCAAACUAGGGAAAACGGAACAAAAUGGAAAGAGAUGCCAGCAGAAAAGAGAUUCUGGGAGCAAAAAGAAAACUACAGACACAGUAGUCAUAUCAAAAAACAAAGGAAUGGCCCAAAGAGUUAUGAAUUGCUGAAGGAGAAUUAAUGAGAUGGAAAAUUUCUCCAGGAAAAGAGCCAAAUAUAGAUAAAGAAGGACAAAAACAGCAUAAGAAAAAACAAAAUAGGGAAAAUAAAAAGAUGUAAAACCUCAAGUGCAAGGUGAAAGAGUAGAACAAAAGAAUGGAUAAAUUAAGAAAUGGUACACUGCAUUAAAGCAAAUGUAUUGUUUUCUUUAUUCUUAUCUUUAACUGGCUUUGCAUUUCUCUGGUAGCAAAGCCAAACUGAAAGGAUAAUUUUGUUUAUGUACCCAAUUUGCAUAAUUGUGCAAUAUAAAUUACAAUGCUAAUUAAGGACAGCCCUUGGGCUUCUGGAAUUGGGUCAAAGUGGCCUCCUAAGUGCAGGGAGGUUGGGACAUUGGCUCUGUCCCCUUCUCCCACUGCAGGGAAGCCAGGCAAAAAGAAAAGAAGCUCUCUUGACAGUGUGUGAAGUCUUGUCAGAAUUUAUUGCAAACCAAAAACUGUAUGUCUCACUCUCGAACUUGGCUUUCAAAAUCAUCUUUGUGUAAUUCUGACAUGAUGUGCUUAAAAGCCAAAAUUUCUUCUAAAUGUGGCUGCUUAUCUUUUUAUGAAUUUAUUUCCCUCACUUAAAAAAUUUUAUUCAGAGAAUUUAAGCUGUAGAUAAUGGAGCAUGAAGCUAGCAUACAAUAUUUUCUCACUGGACUCUUGCCAGAAUUAUCUCAAACCAGUUCAUGGUAUGCCCUGCUUAGGUUCUUGUGCACCAGGAGGACACAGCAAGCUCAUUUCUGAGCCUUAGUUAAGUCUAUAUCUUUAAAACUAAUUAAAAUAUUGCACUAUAACUAUGUCAAAAAAUAAGACCUAGAGAGUUAAUUCCUUGCACUAUUCAUAGUUUGCAAUUGUAAGGUACAGGGUUCCUAUAACAGGUAGGUUGGCUUUAUCUCUGAGAUCCUGUAGUGAUGAAGCCUGCCAUGUUUACAAUGGAAAAGCCUUAGGAUAAGUCUGUUCUGAAGAAGAUUUUUUUGUAAGCUUUUUGUAGCCAAGCAAAAGUUAUAAGCAAGCUAGAAAGCAGUAGAUCUUAAUCACUCAGGUCAGAGGGAAGACCAAGUGCCCUAUCUAAUCUCACUUUUCCUUCUACCCCACUUUCUUAGAGCAUAGAAGCCACUUUUAAAAAGGAUUUAUUAUCUAUCUAACUUGAACAACAGCAACACAGUUAAGGCUGCUAGUUGUAUGCACCUGAUUUCAAUUUUAAGACACAGAGUAGUAGCUUCCCUUGGAAUAUUAUAGGGGUAACUGGAAAAUAGAUGACCUAGUUUCCAUCAUUUGAUACUUGAUGAUUUCACUUGAGCAAUGUUUCCCAAAAUUUUUCAUGUCUAGAAAUACAAAAAAUAGUAUUUCUAUGUAACCCUGGAGUGCUGCAAGUCUGAAUGUAUAGGUUCACCAAAAUUCCUAAGUUGAAAUUGUUUAAUACUCCAAUGUAAUGGUAUCAGAAUGUGUGUGGGGUGGCUUUGGAAAGUAGUGAGGUCAUGGGGUAGGGCUUUCAUGAAUGUGAUUUGUACCCUUAUAAAAGAUGCUCAAGAAAGCCCUCUUGCCCAUUUCCCAUGUGAAGUUGAAUAAGAAGAUGGCUGUCUAUGAAGAAGCAGGCUCUCUCCAGCCAUCUAGUCUAUGAUGUCUUGGGGAAACAGCAUGAAAAAACUAAAACUGAAGUAAACUAGAGAAAUGGAGCUUUAGAGAAGUAUACUCAUGAACAAAGCUCUGAAGCUUUAGUCAACCCAACUCUCCAUUUGCCCUCCUGAACACCAAAAAACAAGAUUCCAUCCUGUGAUUCAUGCAGCAACAGCGUUCAAGUGAUGGCAAAAAUGAAAGUCACAGACAAGUCAGUAUGCGGUACACUGGGCUGAACAUACAGAGUUUAGUGUUUCUUUGGAGGAAUUGUGACAAUAACAUUUGUUCCCUCUGCCCUCCUUCCCCUCCAUUUCCUGUAAAAUCUACCUUUUCCUACUCUCACUUGCUCUCAUACAGUUUGUGUAGAACUGGCCUAUCCCUGGCUCAAAAGCAUGACCUAUUCUGGCCAGAGAGAGUGGGUCAUACCUCCCAGCAAUCUCAGGAAGAAUGGGAAACUUGGUAAAUUAGUAAUAGUAUUUUGAACUUUGAUGCAACCAUGAAUAAAUAUUCCAACUUUUUCCUUGACUAUGAGUAUGCUUCUUGUUUUGCUUGAACUAAUUGAAAUUAAAUAUUAUUUUCAACUGGAAGAGUCCCAAUUGAUAUUUAUUCUAAUUUCCUAAAAUUCAGAUCCAGUAGGUCAGCUUAAAAAUUUCUAUGACUCACCAUUUCCUAUAAAGUCCAAAUCUUUACCUAAUUAUGAGUAACAUAUAGGUUUAACUGUAAUGCAGUUAAUAUGUUCUCUCUCACUGGUUUAUUGAUUAUAGUGUUAGCCAAGAGCGGACAAGGUAGAAUAUUUGAUCUAAUUAUCAUUCUUUUAUUAUCCUUAUCAAACAGACCUCGAGAAAGCAACAGACAUGCGCUUAGAACUUACAUGGCUUUUGGCAGAUUUUCUUUCCCCUUUCAUGCAGUUGUUACAGAGGAUUUGGCAUGUACUUUGUUUAUUAUUGUAAAAGCAUAUUAUUGACAGUGUAGAAAUUUUAGAGAAUACACCUAUUUUGUUUGUACUGAGAGAAAUUAUUGUAGAGAAGUGAAUCUUCAUGUUUUUCUUGGAUCAUUAAUGUUCACAUUAUCAGGGAAAUUGUUAGUGAUGCACAUUUUUGAACCCAACUUCAAACCAACUGAAUCAGGAAAUCUUUAGAUGGCACGCAGAAACCUGUAUUUUAACACAAUUAAAAUCAUCCCAUGAUACAUGAAAAAAUAUUUGAACCAUUAUGGGGCCUUGGGGAAACUAUGCCUCAUAUCCUUUUCUCUGACAUAAAUAAAAUGCUCAGUAAAUUUUAGAUAAUGCUAUAGCUGUUGAAGCAACAUUCUGAGAAACAUGCUUACUUGUAAUAGUCAAGCAAGGUUUAUUUUAAAUUAAGAACUUACCUCUAAAGUCACGUAAAGAUUGAAGUCAGAGAAUUGAAUGAGUGAUUAAAUUCAUACUGAAAAAUGAAAACAAUGGAUAGCUCUUAUAAAUCUUAGAGUAGUAACUUAAACCUAGUAUAACUUCAGUUGACAUAUAUAUAUAGAGAGAGAGAGAGAGAGAGAGUUUUAAGUGUAGUUUUGCAUUCACCAAAAUGCAGAAACAUGUACUAACUUUAGUUAAGAUAAUAUUUAAAUCUCUAUUAUUUUUAAACUGCUGUGUUUUCUUUUUACUGAAAGUUAUUUUUCAGUUCUAAGGGCUUAAUUCUUUUCUAGCCCCAAGGACUCAAAUGUUAACUUCAUGUUUAUAAAUAGAUGAGCCUGAGACAUCUCAUGUCUAGUAGCACGUAUUUUUGUUGGUGAAACAUUUUCUAAAAUUUGUAAGUAACUCAAAGUUUUUGCUCUUGAUGUACAGUAGCCCAAAAAAGGUACACCUUCUCUCUACUGUGGCCAUUGCCUUCUAGGAAGUUUAAAGUGUCCCAAGAGUUUUCUGGAUCUCUAUUUGCAUGCUGUUUGGAUGUAUAGGUUCAGAAUUUUGCUGGUUUUCCAUUUCAUACUCUAAUAUCAUAUAGACUGCACUUGCUCCUUUAUAGUUAUACCAUCAUAUAUCUCUAGACUUGAAAAUUCAGUUAUAUGUUGUAUGCAGGACAGUAUUUGCUUAUUAAAAAUAUUAAAUUCCAGGCACUAAUCUAGGCAUUAAGUUCAUAAUGAUUAUAUGAGUCACUGUGACCAUAAUGAUAAUAUCUAUAAACCAUAAUUUUCCUAUUAGGCAGAAACUGAACUUUAUUUUGUUUCUUUUUAUCUUCAUAGAGAUAUGGGAACAUGCAUAGGUGCACAAGAAAAACUUUUGGAUCAUUAAAGUACAUAGUAUAUUUUUGAGAGAUUUUGAGAAGCCUGAUUAGAGAAGGAAACAUGAAAAGUAUAGGCUUAGGAAGUGGAAGAUUAUUUGUGCUGCAGUGUGUUAUAAAAAGAACUUAGUAGAGGUGCUUGGUUUUUAGGUUAAAUAACAGAGAAAAUAAAUGUCACAGCAGUUACAGAUUGACUGAAAUUAUGUUUCAUACAGUGCACUCCUGCUUGACCUUGUAGAGACUUGUGGGAAGCAUCAAAAAGAGCACUGAAAUCAGGCCUGGAGAAACAUGUUUUGAAGCUUGGCUUUACCACUAUUAGCUGUUUGACUUUAGACAAAUUUAAGUUCAUGAAAUUCAUAUAAACUGGCUCCUUAGAUCUAUCAGGAUAUUGCAAACAUCACCAGAACAGGAUAUUUGAAAGAACUUCAAUACAUUUUUCUAAAUGUUCAAUGUUUUUCUAGCAGAAUAGGAUUGAAUUUGGAGGCAGGCACCUUGAGUUGAAAGACAGUGAUGAAAAUGUGAGUUUUUGGAAGAAGGGAAACCAUGUCCUAAAUUAUGAUCUGUAAGGACUGCCAUAAAAUUUUCUUACCAAAAUCUGGAGUGGGUGUAAAUGGUUUCGAGAAUAUGUAUCUUACAAACUGUGUCACUAUGAACAUGAGUGCACAUAUAUCAUAGCGGUGCAGUUUGUAAUAGCUAAAACUUGGAAACAGCCCAAUUGCCCAUCAAUUGGAGACUGGUAAAGAAAAUGUGUUUUUUCUUUUUUAAAUGGAGUAUUACUCAGCCAUAAAGAACAAGAAACUAGAGACAUUUAUAGCUAAAUGGAUGCACAUUGAGGUCAUCUUCUUAAGUGAAAUGAAUAGAACACACAAGUGUAAAUACUGAAUACUUUCUCUGGUGUGAGAAACUGAAAGUGUAAAUAAGAAUCAAAAUGUAUAAUAGAUAAUGUGAAAUAGGAAGCAAAGGUCCAAAGGGGGAGUGGGAGGUGUAGGAAAAAGGAAAAAAAGGGAAAGGAAUAAAUUUGAGAAAAAAAAAAAGGGAACAAAGUUUGUAAAUAGGGAGGGGGUGGAGGGGUUGAACAGAGGGCAGGAGAAUGGAGAAAAAAUAAGAACCAAAAUAUAUUAUGUAAAGGUAGAAAUUCCCAAUAAUGAAUGUCAGCAUAUUGUAUACCUAAAAUGUUCCAAUAAACUUAAUGAAAAAAGUAUAUGUAUCUUGAUCAUCAAAAGUCUCACUAUACACCUAUAAUUUAAACUGUUAUUGUAUGACACAAUUGAGAUAUAUUAAAUUUCUUUUAUUCUCAAAGACAGUACAGAAAACAAAAGGAAGUUUUAUUUCUCAUAAAACUUAUUUUCUCAUACUCUUCAUAAAAAGUAUAGUAUAUUUUCUGAACAGUGAUUUCCUGGGUUAUAGUUACUUGAUAUUUGUUUUUCUAGGCACAAGGAUAUUGUGAUUGGUUCUACAUUUAUGAAAGUAACAAACUAUGAACAUAGUAUAAUACAUUUUGCUUGAGUGGAAGCAGUAGUAUAAAUAUUUCACUAAAAUUAAAACAAGUAUUUUAGGUUGUAUUCUUAUUAGGUUGUUUUCUUAUUUAUAAAUAGACUUGAUUAUUAUUGAAUAUGUUUCUCAUUGGCAUUUUAAAUUUUAUUAUAUUAUAUGGUGAUGCACCAUAUAAAGAUAUUUUGGUCAAUGAUGGUUCACAGUGGUAUAUUCCAUAUGGCAUAGGUGUGUAAUAGACUAUAUCAUUUAGAUUUGUUCUCUCUAUGAUAUUUACACAACAAAAUUAUCUAGAACAUUUUUUCUUAGAAUUUAUCUAUAAUUAAGCAAUGCAUGAUACCAUUUAAUAUCAUAUAUAAUACAUUUUUAUUUUAUUACAUUUUAGAAAACAUAUUAGAUUGAAAAUCAGAAAACAUAGGAGGUGAUCUUUAAUUCACACAAUCUGUGUAUCAUAUCUUUAUCUUCCUUUCACCUCUUUCUCAGUAUAAUUAUGUAUUCUACUGUCUUACCCUCUAACUUAUGCCUAGGUCUUCCUCCAAUGAGUCAUGCAUUCACAAGCAUAUGGAGGGAGACAUUUAGUCUUAUUCUUUGAUAUCUUUAGCACAGGGACUAGAACAUUGUUGAUGCUUCAUAAAUAUCAAGGCAAAUACAUUCAUUUGAAUUGAAUAUUAGCCUUUGAUCAAUUCAAUAAAAACGGUGCAAAAUUAGUUAAGACUGCCAUCAAAUCUUUUGUAUUUCCUGUCAAAUUAAACAAUAAUUUGAUUCUCAGAGAUUCUUAGUACUUCAUUUACAAACAGAAAUCUGGGAAAUAAUAUGUCUAUUCUUAUAUUCUUCAAAAGAUAUGCUUUUCUUUCAGGGAAUGGAUAUACUAAGAAUAUUCAUAGAAGCUGAAUAUAAGUGACCAAUAUGAUAUAGCCCAAAGGUGUGUGCAAGUUGAAGGGCAGAUAGGAAGAGAUUAUGUCAAGGUAGUAGAUACUGUCUGUGAUAGUUGCUAGCAGAGACAAACACUACCUGAUGCCUUUUCACUAUCCACUUCCCAAGCCAUGCCAAUUAAGUAGAAAUGUGUCCAGCUGAAAACUUGUUUAGUAACCUUUGGUCCAAAUAGAAGUAGGCAUGUGACUCAAUUCUGACCAACAAUAAAAUUGGUGGAGGCUUCCAUGUAAUUUUUAUAGGGGAGAUAAACUUACUGGAAUGGCCUUUUAGUCCUUUUCCCUGCCUCCUGCAUGGAUGCCUGGAGGUGCAAUCAUUGCAAUCAUGAGGAUUAAAACCACAUUUUAUAGUUGGUUUCAGUAAGAGUAGAAAAGAAAUCUGGAUCAUAAGGACAUUCGGCUACAGUACUAAUCCUGAUCUUUCUAUCCAUGGACUUGUUACAUGAGACAAAUAAACCUUUUAUUUAUUUAAUGUACAGUUUGUUGGGCUUUCUCAAAACUAAACACAAUCCUCAUAUAUUUGCCCUUCUGGGAAAAAAGGUAGUACAUGACUUUCAAAAUCUAAUGAGAUUCAUGUAUGACUUAAACCACUCUACUGAAGCAGUUCCAUUUCAGUCCAUGGUGCAAGGCAGUUGCCCUGAAUAACAUAUAGUGUCUAAUAAUUUUGUUUCUUUGUUAGUUUUUCCUGAAGCCUAGGGUCAAAGAGCCCAGAAAAUUGUAAACAUAGAGAUGUAAUCUCUGUGCACAUUGGCUGAUAAAUGCUAUUAUGAUUUGUAUGCCUAGAUUUGGUAAAGAACGAAUAUUCAACAUCUCUACAUAAUAUUGCUUUAAUUAAAUUCUUUUCUCUCUGGCUGUCAUACAUGCCACACAGGCGCAAUCAACGAACAUUGACAAUUUGCUUAAAUCUUACUCUUUGUCCUAUUUGUAUAAUUUAUUGUGUCAGUGUUCCUCAAGUGGUGUGCUCCUGCAACUCAUCAUCUAGAAAUCCUUCCCAGAUGUGCUGAAAUUUUUCAUUAAUUUGUACAAGUAUUGUUUUGUAAUUAAAUACACACGCUUUUGACUGGAAGAGAAAACACCUCUCUUUAAUCCCAGAGAAUUAUUUGGCCUUGAGAAAAAUUGAUUCAUGCCCUUCCCACUUCAUCCUCCUUAUUCAGAUAGAUAUUCCUGAAGCAUUCGCUGCUUUAUAAAUUUACUUGGUCCAAAGAUGAAAAAGAAAAAUCCAUUACUUUAAAGAUUUCUGCAGGAUCUACCUAUAACUCACUUUUUAGUUUCCAAUUAAGAAUAACAUAACUCUAGAGUAGGCUUCAACCCUAAUUUUCCAAACUGGAAUACAAUUUCAAAGCAGGAAGUGACAAUCUCUGUAGUGGUACUUGUCCACAGAGGUGAUAUUUCUGGUUAUUGAAUUUCAAGACUAGAAACUAAGCUUACUAUCUUUUAGCUUGGUAACUGUAAAGAGAGGGUGAGGACUGCUCUGUAUAUUAAUAAAGACUAUCAUAAGCAGCUGAAGAAAUUGGCUUAGCUCUACUUCUUAGUGUCCAUGUUUGUUUGUUUGUUUUUUGGUAUGAAGCAUGGAAUAUAAAACUAAUACUGCAUUUACUACAUUCAUUUGCAGCUAGGUUCCUGAGUGACAUUGGGUUUGGCUGGUUUGAUAACCAGGGUCACAUUUAGAAGGGAAAUGUGAGGCAAAUACCACAUGGUUGACUGAUUCUAUUUAUUUCUAAUGACCUUUACUAGGCACACUUUGUAUAGAAAAUAAUGAGCAUAUUUUAAGUAUAUAGUUUAAUGAGUUCUGACUAAUUUAUUGAUCUAUUUAACCAAUAUCAAUAUCAAUGUGUAUAUUAAUUUCCUUACUCCAUAAUAAAACUUUGUGCUCCUUUCCAGACAACCCCCAAAUCCUGGACCCAGACAACUAUUGAUCUGCUUUGUAUUGCCAUAGAUCAUAUUUUCUUUUCUGAGAGAUUCAAUAAACAGAUUCUUAUAUUAAAUCAUCUUAACUCUGGCUUAUUCCCAUCACCAUGAUAUUUUGAAAUAUAUCAAUACUGUUUGUAUAGUAAGCAAAGAUUUAAGAUGGGCUCAAAAAAUCUUCACUCCUGGUAUAUGUACCUUUUACCUCUUAUCCAACCAAAGUUAAUUUAAAUGAUACUAUGAAAGGAUUUUCAAGGUAUAAUUAAAGUCCUUAAUAAGUUUGCUUUAAGUUAUGUGGAUUUUCCUAGGUGAGCCAGACCUAAGUAGGUGAGCCAUUAGAAAAAUUAGAGCUAUUCAAAGAACAGGAGAAAUUUUGUCACCAACUUUAAAAAGAUAACUUCCAUUUUGUGAUGAAGUCCAUAUGUCAAGUAGGCCUAGGCAGCUUCUAGGAGCUGAGAAUCACCCUAGUUUCAUGGCCAGCUAGCAACCUUCCCUAUAACCUCAGACCUAUAAACAUAAGAAACUGAAUUCUGUUAAAAACCAGUUAGAAAAACCUUGAGCUUUAAUUGAAAUUGAGGCUCUGACCAAUACCUUGAAUUUAACCUGAUGAGGCCUGAAGAGAGAACUCAAUUAUGUUCUUCCAGGUUUCUAUCCUACAGAACCAUGAUUUAAUAAAUGGACAAUAAUUGAAACUUAAUUGCUAACAAGUUGCUAUAAACUCUAGGAAUGUAGUUAAAUAAUUGACAUCCCUCAGCAACUGAGUAUUUUAUUUAUUAAAAAAUAAAUUACUAUAUGGGAGAGAUUACACAAGGCUGUGAAUACCAGGAAGGUGUGAUAUCUAGGGUUUGAUUUUAAAAGCUGUGUAAUUUUGUAGUGAUUUGUUAGGCACCAAUGCAAAAUGAAUAUACUGAAUGUCAUUAGAUUUUUUAUUUUAUUGCUAAAUAUAUUAAUAUUGCUUCCUAACAAACUACUAGCAAUGCAGUAUAUUUUUUAUUAGUAUAUGUUUGCCAUACAUAAUGUUUAACUUCCUUGUGUGAAGUUGGUGCUUGUAAUGGAAUAUAUCUCAAGGGCCAGGGAUUUAGCUUAGUGGUUCUGCCACCUGCCUUGCAAGUUCAAGGUCCCAAGUUCGUAUCUCCGGUACCAAAAAAACAAAAACAAAAAACCCCAGAACAUAUCUUGAUUGUUUUUUCAUCCCUUUUUCCUCCUCUCCCUUCACCUCUCCCUCCAUUGCUUGAUCCCCUUCCCUUUGAAGGGGAUAUUUGUCUCCAUAAUUCCUAUUAUCUGUGUUUUAUUUUGCUCUUUUGUCUCUUUAUUUGAAUUUUGAUUUCUCAUAGGAGAAAAAUCCAAAUAGGUUCCUUUGAGAUCUUAACUAUUUAGGAAAAAAGUUCCUAUUGUUAUACUACUUACACAAGACUUCCAAAAAGGUCCAUUGCAGUGAAAGCCUGGUUGCCAGCUGAUGGGCCUUUGGGGAUUACUUAGAUUGUGAGGGCUCUAACUUCCUCAAAGUAUGAACCAUUGAUGAAAUCAUAAACGGGUGGCAUUAUUGGAAGGCCAUGGGAAUGGAAGGUGGGGGCUAAGUAAAGGGAGGGGAUAAUGGGAGUGUGGCCUUGGGGACUGUAUCUGGUCCAAGGCCCUUUUCUCUUUGAUACUCUCAUCCUAUGUGCUUCCAGGGUAACUCAGGUGAGCAGCUUUCCUCUGCCACACCCUUCUAGUAUAAGGUUUCUGCAUCACUACAAGCAUAAGCAUGAGCUGCCUGGCUAUGGGAUGAAACCUGUGAAACCAUGAGCCAAAGUAACUUUUCCUCCUUUAAAUUGACUCCUCAGGUAUUUUGUCAGUCACCAAAAGCUAACAUAGCUAUGAACAUGUAAGUACUACAUUUUGUAUAAGCAUAUAUUUUAUUUAUUUUGAGUAGAAAUGCAAUGCCAUAUAGAAAAUGUUUAAUCUUAUAUAACAAACUUCUUUAAUUGUUUUCCAAGUGCUUGCUCCAUUUCACACACCCAACAAUGUGAAAAAUGUAUUACAAUUUCAGUUUUUCUACAUUUUCACAAAUAUUUGAUAUUAUUGGAAAACUUAACUGUAAACAUAUAAAUGAGUGUACAGUGGUGCUAAUGAUAAAUAUACAUUUAAUUCACACUUAGCAGGAGCUAAUUAUGUUAAGCAUCUUCUCAUAUGCUUAGAGGGCAUUUAUAUACUUUCUUUUGAGAAAUACCUGUUUAAGAUUACCCAUUCAAAUUCUUUUACUUUUUAUUAUAG